UCACUCAUUUCUUGUUGGAAUUAGGUUCCGUUUGAGGCAAAACGAAGCUCGUGUCAAGCUCUAUACAUCCAUACCAUCAAUUUCCGGUUUUGAGUCUUCCUUGGAGCUCGAAUUUGAGGACCCAUUUUCUAGGGUUUUGGUGCAAUCCUGAGGUCUUGGAAAAGAACCGGUGGACGACAAUCCACCCCAACUUUGAAAGUUGCUAGAGGAGCAUUUUCCUUGUUAUUUUGUAAUAGACUACUCCUUUGUUCAUCCCUCAUUUUUGUAAAAUUCCAAAGGUGUAAUGAUGUAAAUUUCUUUUGAAGAACCAUGAUCAUGUAAUACACUUAUGAUACUUGAUGACAUAUGGGAUGCGAACUUGAUGA
Cornus florida is the source of this 365-nucleotide long non-coding RNA. RefSeq lists it as uncharacterized. The record is from RefSeq and is a predicted model, not a curated record. The transcript has 2 exons. Lineage: Eukaryota; Viridiplantae; Streptophyta; Magnoliopsida; Cornales; Cornaceae.